CAGUCGCCACGGUAAUACAGAGGGUGCAAGCGUUAAUCGGAAUUACUGGGCGUAAAGCGUGCGUAGGUGGUGGUUUAAGUCCGUUGUGAAAGCCCUGGGCUCAACCUGGGAAUUGCAGUGGAUACUGGGUCACUAGAGUGUGGUAGAGGAUAGUGGAAUUUCCGGUGUAGCAGUGAAAUGCGUAGAGAUCGGAAGGAACAUCUGUGGCGAAGGCGACUAUCUGGGCCAACACUGACACUGAGGCACGAAAGCGUGGGGAGCAAACAGGAUUAGAUACCCCGGUAGUCCCUGUCUCUUAUAC
RNAcentral lists this ribosomal RNA (301 nucleotides) under uncultured bacterium. Its description in RNAcentral is "partial 16S ribosomal RNA". It matches the Rfam family "Bacterial small subunit ribosomal RNA", at positions 509 to 807 of the family's 1533-position model. The record is from RNAcentral.